UUCCCUUCGGGGAGCAAGUAGAGUGGCGCACGGGUGAGUAACACGUAGGUAAUCUACCUUCGGAUGGGGAAUAACAACCGGAAACGGUUGCUAAUACCGCAUAAUGCAGCGGCACCUAAUGGUGACAGUUGUUAAAGCGGGGGAUCGCAAGACCUCGCGUCUGGAGAGGAGCCUGCGGCGGAUUAGCUAGUUGGUAAGGUAACGGCUUACCAAGGCAACGAUCCGUAGCCGGCCUGAGAGGGCGGUCGGCCACACUGACACUGACAUACGGGUCAGACUCCUACGGGAGGCAGCAGUCGGGAAUUUUGGGCAAUGGGCGAAAGCCUGACCCAGCAACGCCGCGUGAAGGAUGAAAUCCCUCGGGAUGUAAACUUCGCAAGAACGGGAAGAAUAAGCGAGAGUUAAUAUCUUUCGUGAUGACGGUACCGUUUGUAAGCUCCGGCUAACUCCGUGCCAGCAGCCGCGGUAAUACGGGGGGAGCAAGCGUUGUUCGGAUUUACUGGGCGUAAAGGGCGCGUAGGCGGCCAGCGCAAGUCAGUUGUGAAAUCUCCGAGCUUAACUCGGAAAGGUCAACUGAUACUGCGCGGCUAGAGUGCAGAAGGGGCAACUGGAAUUCUCGGUGUAGCGGUGAAAUGCGUAGAUAUCGAGAGGAACACCUGCGGCGAAGGCGGGUUGCUGGGCUGACACUGACGCUGAGGCGCGAAAGCCAG
RNAcentral lists this ribosomal RNA (710 nucleotides) under uncultured soil bacterium. RNAcentral describes it as "bacterial SSU rRNA". It matches the Rfam family "Bacterial small subunit ribosomal RNA", at positions 74 to 763 of the family's 1533-position model. The record is from RNAcentral.